This 148-nucleotide non-coding RNA is filed under the name Nomascus leucogenys (northern white-cheeked gibbon). Lineage: Eukaryota; Metazoa; Chordata; Mammalia; Primates; Hylobatidae. The record is from Rfam by way of RNAcentral.
UCUGGGCGUGGUGGCGGGCGCCUGUAAUCCCAGCUACUUGGGAGGCUGAGGCAGGAGAAUUACUUGAACCCGGGAGGCAGAGGCUGCAGUGAGCUGAGAUUGUGCCACUGCACUCCAGCCUGGGUGACAGAGUGAGACUCUGUCUCAA